Molecule: transfer RNA, 70 nt
Filed under: Lamennaisia nobilis
Lineage: Eukaryota; Metazoa; Arthropoda; Insecta; Hymenoptera; Encyrtidae
Also listed under: 1 other name
Description: tRNA-Arg
Source: RNAcentral
UAAAAAGAAUUCUAUUUUGAAGUUUAAUUUCGACUUAAAUAAUAGUAAUUUUAUUAUUUUACCUUUUUUU